Misgurnus anguillicaudatus (oriental weatherfish) is the source of this 1181-nucleotide non-coding RNA. The record is from RefSeq and is a predicted model, not a curated record. NCBI's taxonomy places the organism in Eukaryota, Metazoa, Chordata, Actinopteri, Cypriniformes, Cobitidae.
GUGGGAAUGACGGUGGCGCGGAGGACAUCUGUGGUUUACUGAAGAAAGUUAACUUGGCGGUGGAUGAAUUUGAGUGGGAGUCUUAGAGAGGAACACAGAACCCCCUGAGGACCCAAACACAACAUCCUCCAAAUCUGUGUAACCACUAACUCCACAUUUCUUUGAAUAGAAGUACAGUAAGAUCAGGAUGUUACCUGGGACCUCUGUCUGUCCUGCACUGGUGCUGUUUUUCCUGAAGCGACCAGCCUGGACCUUCAUGUUGGGACAAAGGACAUCUGCAAAGAGAAAGACAGGAAUAACAGAGUCUCCUCCUCAACCUCCCCCUGAUCUUAUCAAUGGCAUCGAAGUCCGUCACGUGGAACACAUGAGCGUUUUUGGGCUCUGCUCCGAUCUCCUCCAGUUCCUCUCUGAGAGCUUCUCCGAUCCCCACCGCGAACAUUCUGAUUCCAGCAGCUGCGGCGGCUAAAGACGGCUCCAGAACGUAAUCUUGACUCUUGCCAUCCGUUAGUAAGAUGGCCACUUUCUGAAAACCUUUGGCUGCGGGCCGUGCUCCCGCUCUUUCCGUGAAGAUGUUGUUGGUGGUGAAGCUGAUGGCGUCUCCUGUCUUGGUGUUCCCACCCAAGUAGCGGAUGUUUCCAGCGGCGCGCUUGACCUCCUCGAGGUUUUUGUACCUGCCCAGGUUGAAUUCGGCGGUGGGCCGGUCGCUGUAGCGAACAACGGCCACACGUGUUUUAUCCACACCUACUUCAAACGAUUCCACCAGUUUUGCCACCCACUGACGGAUCUUCUCAAAGUUUUCCUUUCCCACACUAGAGGAUGUAUCCAAAAUGAAGACCAGAUCAUAGUGGACGUUUUUGCACCCUGGGUACAAAAGACAUACAAUUUUACACACCGUGUGUAUACAGGACGGCCAUCGUGUUUAGGAAUAAAAAUGUGCUAAGCCACAGAUUUAUAAAGUUUGUGUUUUGUCAUCCUACCAUGGCUCAAAACUAGUGGUUUGUCAUGUGCACCGCGUUAGUCUAAACACAUUACAACAAAGGAUUUGUCAAAAGCCUGAAUUAGACCUUCAUGGUUAACCUUGGUUUAUAUUAAACUCUUUUUCUACUUGUUCACACUUCACAGCUUUGUAGACUAUGCUCAUGUUGGUUUAGACAAAAUGUUAAAUGCUUUUUAUUUGUAAA